Molecule: long non-coding RNA, 447 nt
Filed under: Vitis vinifera (wine grape)
Lineage: Eukaryota; Viridiplantae; Streptophyta; Magnoliopsida; Vitales; Vitaceae
Description: long non-coding RNA (VVIN_LNC002927)
Source: RNAcentral
UCAUAACAUACACAUUCAUAGAAUUUUUGAGUUGGGGGGCAGAAAGAGCAUACCUAAUCAACGAGCAUUAACACCUUUAUGGGAAACAAGGGUAGCUCAACGAUGAAUAUAAAACAAAUUCAUGUAUAUCAUCAAGAGGAAUAAAAAAAAUCAACCAGAUAUCAAGCAAGCAAUAUCAAAGAGAAUAUCAUGAAUGUCGACCCCCCUCCAAAGCCCUAAUUAAUUUUGCAUGAAUUGAUUCUAUGAAUUCCAUUGUUUGGAAUCAUGAAGUUUGUUCAUGCUUGUUAAAAAAAUCAAGAAAAUUAGUAAAAAAAAUAGUGAAAACGUGUGGAGGAAGGAAAAUGGUAGUAAAUAGUAUGUUAAAAUCUGGAUUUUACGCCUAGAAACUCCUAAGGAAUUUUAAAGAAAACUAGAGUUAUUUCGAUGGAAAAUGGUUUUGAAAUCCAG